AGGACGAACGCUGGCGGCGUGCUUAACACAUGCAAGUCGAGCGGAAAGGCCCUUCGGGGUACUCGAGCGGCGAACGGGUGAGUAACACGUGAGCAACCUGCCCUCAGUUCUGGGAUAGCUCCCGGAAACGGGAAUUAAUACCGGACAUGACCUUCUCCUGCAUGGGGGAGGGUGGAAAGUUUUUCGGCCAGGGAGGGGCUCGCGGCCUAUCAGCUUGUUGGGGGGGUAACGGCCCACCAAGGCGACGACGGGUAGCC
This 257-nucleotide ribosomal RNA is filed under the name uncultured bacterium. Its description in RNAcentral is "partial small subunit ribosomal RNA". It matches the Rfam family "Bacterial small subunit ribosomal RNA", at positions 26 to 288 of the family's 1533-position model. The record is from RNAcentral.